RNAcentral lists this ribosomal RNA (503 nucleotides) under uncultured bacterium. Its description in RNAcentral is "partial 16S ribosomal RNA". It matches the Rfam family "Bacterial small subunit ribosomal RNA", at positions 30 to 523 of the family's 1533-position model. The record is from RNAcentral.
AUUGAACGCUGGCGGCAGGCUUAACACAUGCAAGUCGAGCGGGGUGAUGGUGCUUGCACUAUCACUUAGCGGCGGACGGGUGAGUAAUGCUUAGGAAUCUGCCUAUUAGUGGGGGACAACAUCUCGAAAGGGAUGCUAAUACCGCAUACGUCCUACGGGAGAAAGCAGGGGGUCACUUGUGACCUUGCGCUAAUAGAUGAGCCUAAGCCGGAUUAGCUAGUUGGUGGGGUAAAGGCCUACCAAGGCGACGAUCUGUAGCGGGGCUGAGAGGAUGAUCCGCCACACUGGGCCUGAGACACGGCCGCGAAUCCUACGGGAGGCAGCAGUGGGGAAUAUUGGACAAUGGGGGGAACCCUGAUCCAGCCAUGCCGCGUGUGUGAAGAAGGCCUUAUGGUUGUAAAGCACUUUAAGCGAGGAGGAGGCUCUUUUGGUUAAUACCCAAGAUGAGUGGACGUUACUCGCAGAAUAAGCACCGGCUAACUCUGUGCCAGCCGCCGCCGUAA